This 31-nucleotide non-coding RNA is filed under the name Mus musculus (house mouse). Lineage: Eukaryota; Metazoa; Chordata; Mammalia; Rodentia; Muridae. The record is from RNAcentral.
UAGCCAUUGAGAGACCUUGUCUCAGAAAUUG